This 75-nucleotide transfer RNA is filed under the name Propionimicrobium lymphophilum. RNAcentral describes it as "tRNA-Asn". It matches the Rfam family "tRNA". Rfam says of the family: Transfer RNA (tRNA) molecules are approximately 80 nucleotides in length. Their secondary structure includes four short double-helical elements and three loops (D, anti-codon, and T loops). Lineage: Bacteria; Bacillati; Actinomycetota; Actinomycetes; Propionibacteriales; Propionibacteriaceae. RNAcentral also lists the same sequence under 1 other name. The record is from RNAcentral.
UCCCCUGUAGCUCAACGGCAGAGCAUCUGACUGUUAAUCAGAGGGUUCCUGGUUCGAAUCCAGGCGGGGGAGCCA